This 479-nucleotide ribosomal RNA is filed under the name uncultured Desulfovibrio sp. RNAcentral describes it as "bacterial SSU rRNA". It matches the Rfam family "Bacterial small subunit ribosomal RNA", at positions 902 to 1382 of the family's 1533-position model. The record is from RNAcentral. Lineage: Bacteria; Pseudomonadati; Thermodesulfobacteriota; Desulfovibrionia; Desulfovibrionales; Desulfovibrionaceae.
CAAAGGAAUUGACGGGGCCCGCACAAGCGGUGGAGCAUGUGGUUUAAUUCGACGCAACGCGAAGAACCUUACCAGGGCUUGACAUCCCCUGACCGCGUAUGAAGUACGUUUUCACCCUCGGGUGACAGGGAGACAGGUGGUGCAUGGUUGUCGUCAGCUCGUGUCGUGAGAUGUUGGGUUAAGUCCCGCAACGAGCGCAACCCUCGCCUUUAGUUGCCAGCAUUCAGUUGGGCACUCUAGAGGGACUGCCGGUGUCAAACCGGAGGAAGGUGGGGAUGACGUCAAGUCCUCAUGGCCUUUAUGUCUAGGGCUACACACGUACUACAAUGGCCGGUACAAAGGGCAGCCACUCAGCGAUGAGGCGCUAAUCCCAUAAAGCCGGUCUCAGUCCGGAUCGCAGUCUGCAACUCGACGGCGUGAAGUUGGAAUCGCUAGUAAUCGUAGAUCGGCAUGCUACGGUGAAUACGUUCCCGGGCCUU